UUAUGUUUUGGUGGGGGCGAAAUAGGAUCGACGAGAGCGUAAAGAUUGCUUUUUUACCCGGCAUAGUACCACCGUUAUCGGACUAACUUAGUAGUUGCAAAUGACAACUAUGCGGAAGCACGUCACGCUGCGUAAUGCGGUGCGAAUGUUUCAAACUAAG
Molecule: transfer-messenger RNA, 160 nt
Filed under: Bartonella sp.
Lineage: Bacteria; Pseudomonadati; Pseudomonadota; Alphaproteobacteria; Hyphomicrobiales; Bartonellaceae
Description: partial ssrA
Rfam family: Alphaproteobacteria transfer-messenger RNA
About the family: Bacterial tmRNA, also known as 10Sa RNA or SsrA, is named for its dual tRNA and mRNA-like properties. Its role is to liberate the mRNA from a stalled ribosome.
Source: RNAcentral